CCUUAGCUAGCAGUAUCCUGAGUAGGGCGGGACACGAGGAAUCCUGUCUGAAUCCGGGUCGACCACGAUCCAACCCUAAAUACUAAUACCAGAUCGAUAGUGCACAAGUACCGUGAGGGAAAGGUGAAAAGAACUGAGGUGAUCAGAGUGAAAUAGAACCUGAAACCAUUUGCUUACAAUCAUUCAGAGCCCUAUGUAGCAAUACAGGGUGAUGGACUGCCUUUUGCAUAAUGAGCCUGCGAGUUGUGGUGUCUGGCAAGGUUAAGCAAACGCGAAGCCGUAGCGAAAGCGAGUCUGAAUAGGGCGCUUAGUCAGAUGCUGCAGACCCGAAACGAAGUGAUCUAUCCAUGAGCAAGUUGAAGCUAGUGUAAGAACUAGUGGAGGACUGAACCCAUAGGCGUUGAAAAGCCCCGGGAUGACUUGUGGAUAGGGGUGAAAGGCCAAUCAAACUUCGUGAUAGCUGGUUCUCUCCGAAAUAUAUUUAGGUAUAGCGUUGUGUCGUAAUAUAAGGGGGUAGAGCACUGAAUGGGCUAGGGCAUACACCAAUGUACCAAACCCUAUCAAACUCCGAAUACCUUAUAUGUAAUCACAGCAGUCAGGCGGCGAGUGAUAAAAUCCGUCGUCAAGAGGGAAACAACCCAGACUACCAGCUAAGGUCCCUAAAUCUUACUUAAGUGGAAAACGAUGUGAAGUUACUUAAACAACCAGGAGGUUGGCUUAGAAGCAGCCAUCCUUUAAAGAAAGCGUAAUAGCUCACUGGUCUAGUGAUUUUGCGCGGAAAAUAUAACGGGGCUAAAGUAAGUACCGAAGCUGUAGACUUGCACACAACUUAGAUUAUUUAAGUUUAGAAUAUGAGAAACUAAGUUAUAUGUUUAGUUAUAUUUUUACUGAUUUUUAUAGAGUAAAGAUAGAAAUAAAACUUAGUAAAAUCAGUAAAAAUAUUCUUAGACUAAAGUUAAGUAGUUUAAGUUGUGUGCAAGUGGUAGGAGAGCGUUCUAUUUGCGCCGAAGGUAUACCGGUAAGGAGUGCUGGAGCGAAUAGAAGUGAGCAUGCAGGCAUGAGUAGCGAUAAUUAAUGUGAGAAUCAUUAACGCCGUAAACCCAAGGUUUCCUACGCGAUGCUCGUCAUCGUAGGGUUAGUCGGGUCCUAAGUCGAGUCCGAAAGGGGUAGACGAUGGCAAAUUGGUUAAUAUUCCAAUACCAACAUUAGUGUGCGAUGGAAGGACGCUUAGGGCUAAGGGGGCUAGCGGAUGGAAGUGCUAGUCUAAGGUCGUAGGAGGUUAUACAGGCAAAUCCGUAUAACAAUACUCCGAGAACUGAAAGGCUUUUUGAAGUCUUCGGAUGGAUAGAAGAACCCCUGAUGCCGUCGAGCCAAGAAAAGUUUCUAAGUUUAGCUAAUGUUGCCCGUACCGUAAACCGACACAGGUGGGUGGGAUGAGUAUUCUAAGGCGCGUGGAAGAACUCUCUUUAAGGAACUCUGCAAAAUAGCACCGUAUCUUCGGUAUAAGGUGUGGUUCGCUUCGUACUAGGAUUUACUCCGAAAGCGAAGAAACUUACAACA
RNAcentral lists this ribosomal RNA (1560 nucleotides) under Campylobacter sp. CH246. Its description in RNAcentral is "partial 23S ribosomal RNA". It matches the Rfam family "Bacterial large subunit ribosomal RNA", at positions 391 to 1811 of the family's 2925-position model. The record is from RNAcentral. Lineage: Bacteria; Pseudomonadati; Campylobacterota; Epsilonproteobacteria; Campylobacterales; Campylobacteraceae.